Long non-coding RNA from Astatotilapia calliptera (eastern happy), 3566 nucleotides. The record is from Ensembl. NCBI's taxonomy places the organism in Eukaryota, Metazoa, Chordata, Actinopteri, Cichliformes, Cichlidae.
UGGUGCCAGACAGGCUGGUCUGAGCAUUUCGGAAACUACUGAAGUGAUGGUACUUUCCCACACAUGCAUCUCUCAGGUUUACAGAAAAUGGUCAGAAAAACAGAAAAUGUCCAGUAGUGGUGAAAACACCUUGUUGAUGCCAGAGAUCAGAGGAGAAUAGCUCGACUGCUUUGAUCUUAUUGGAAGGUAACAGUAACUCAAAUAACCACUCAUUACAACCAAGGUAUGCAGGAGAGCAUCUUUAAAUGCAAAACAGGUCCAACUUAGAAGCAGAUGGACUACAGCAGCAGAAGACCACACUGGGUGCCUCUUCUGUCACCAAACCAAAACUGGACAACAGAAAACUGGGGGGAAAAAAGAAGCUGUGACAUUUGUAGUGUCAGAAUUUAGUGUAAACAACACCUUGGAUAGCUGCUGGUAUGGUAUCAAAUAUUUUCUUUGCACUUUGGGCCCCCUAAUAUCAGCUGAGCAUUGUUUAAAUGCCACGGCUUACCUGAGUAUGGCUGCUGACCACAUCCAUCCUUAUACGACCACACUGUACCCAUUGUCUGAUGGCUCAAAUCAUCUCAAACUGGUUCCCUAAACAUGACCGAGUACCUAAAUCACCAGGUAUCAGCCCAAUGGAGAAUCUUUGGGAUGUGGUGGAACAGGAGAUUCACAUCAUGGAUGUGCAGCAGACAAAUCUGCAGCGGCUGUUUGAUGCCAUCAUGUCAAAAUGAAGAUUUUUUUAAACAUUCUGCUUUUAUCAGCUAAUUUGGGUUCAAGCAUAUAUCCCCAGUCUUCUGAUUAUUAUAAGAAUAUGCCUAACAAGCUCACGCUUCUCUAACUUCCUUGUUUAUUUUAAAACUUCCAUUCUUCCGCCUGUGCCAUGCAGACUCAAGUGACAUCGUUUGAGGACAUGCACCGGAUUCCUUUUCUGCUUAUGCAGCGUGAAGGGCACAUGUAAGUUUUACUCUACCCCCAAAAUGUGAAAAACAAUUUACAAAAAGAUCAAAAACUAAACUAAAUGCAACAUAAAAUUAAACAACUUGACUUUUUUUUAAGGCCGAGAUAAGAUAAAGUGCCCAAAGUUGACAAAGCAGACAAAAGACAAAGGAGAUCUUUGGCUGAUCACAAUAAUGUAGAUACAUAAAGGCAAACAGACACUAACAAAGUGACUAAAUAGAAAGAAGUAAACCAAACGGUAAUGUGUAACCAAAUAAAAAACAUGAAAGUAAAUCAUUUGAAUUCCCCCCAUGAUGUAUCUUUAAGGAAUUCACACAUUCAGACAAAAAACUCAACAACAGUUGCAGAAAUGCAGUCCCAGCAUGCUUCACAGGCUGCCUAAAGCCUCUCGUCGCUGUGGCUGUCUCCACCCUCCGAGUUGGAGUAAGAUCUCUCAUCUGCUGAAUCUCCAGUCCACACCUUUUGUUCCCCCUGCUUCUCCUGCUCCCCUUGUUCCCCCUGCUCCCAUUGUUCCUCCUCCUCUUGCUUCAGUUUGUUGACAUCCAAGUCCUCCUGUUUCUGUUCACCUGAGAGUGUCUUGUCUUCGCUCGAUUCACACAUCUGGACCUGCUUUUUGCUCCCUCUCCUCCCAUUAAGACCGCUCCUGGCCAAACAUCUCCGCACGGUGGAUGGGUCCACCAGAGUGCCGCUGGUCACCGCCAGCUCUGAGGUGAUGGCGCUACUGGACAUGGUCCGAUUCUCCAGGAAAGUCAGCUUAAUGAGUCUUUCGUCCGCUUUACUCAGCUUCCUCGGUCGGCCGCUGCGUUUCUGAUCUUCAACCGUACCCGUUUUUUUGUGCUUCUGCAGAAGAGCUUGGACAGCACGUUUGGAAACACCUGUCUGACGCGAGAUUUCCGCCUGUGAGAGACCUUGCUGGCGCAGGCUCACCACCUUGUGUCUCGUUUCUAUGCUCACUUUAGCCAUGGUGUUUGAUCUUUCUGAUCCCAGCAGCCUCACCUUAACCAGGUAGACCAGACGACGGGAAUCACAACCAAAACAGCAGGCGGAAGAGCGUCUUCUUCUGCGUCUUCUUCUUGAUGCAUACUUGAGGUUGGCACACAUCUAAUUGGUGCAUUACCGCCACCAGCUGGUCCCGAUAGCGUUCACCACUUAAAGACUUCAACAGCCAGGUUAACUUUUAGUUUCUUGAGGUUUUUGGACCACUUUGCGUCUCCUGUCUUCAUAUUUUUCAUAGUAUAAUACAACAUGUUUGGUGUUUUCCUGUUACGAAUGACAGAUGGGAAUCUCUCCUGCUCCUCCCCAGAACCAUUACCCUUUCAUUUCGUCCUUUCAUUGCUUUUGCCACCUUUUCAACAUUUUCUGCAUCACGAUGCUCUUUAUUCCUGUCAGCCUGAGUUUAACUAAAACAUUUUUUUUUCUAAAAAAAGAACUUUAUUCAUGAACAUCAGUGCAAACAAAAAGGCACUCAUAAUAGUUGUCUUGAUUAACUAUCAUUAGUGUCUUUUUAUUAUAGUUAUUCAAAUAACCUAUAUACACAAGGUGGGGUGGCUGUGCUGGGAAAUGAGAAAGAAAACACAAGAUCAUUUUAAAAUUGUAUAUACAUGAAGACAGGUAGGUAGGUAGGUAGGUAGAUAGGUAGAUAGAUAUACUGUACACUAUGUGAGUGUUUUGAGUGAAUUUGAGUCAAGUUAUUGGUCUUGCAUCUUCAAGUACUAUGAACAUUUCUCCCAUGUUCAUUCAUAAUCUGUCAGUAAUGUUUUCCUCUACUUUGAUAAGAAACUCAGAAACAGUGACCAUCACUCUAAUUGAUGCAUCUGCAUCAAUGUGGACAAAACUGCAGUGCUGAUGAAUGUAUGCCUGUACUGUGUGUUUAAAAUAAAAUCCCCAUCCUUACUCUUUCUUUUCCAUUAAUGUAAAUUCUUCUGUGGCGACAGGAAGUAUUUGUUGCUCUUUUGCCUGUAAUGGCACGGUCUGACUAAUGUUUAACUGGCCUAUUUUAAGUUCUGUUGCUCUCUGAGACAAGCCAAAGCGCUUUGUUUUUUCUUUCCUUUUCCCAUAAAGCUCUUACGAACGCCUCAUGUUGGAUGACCCCGUUCAUGGCCCUGUAACUUUGCUCAGCAAUUUAGUGUUAGCUGCUCCCUUCUGAUUUCUAGUGGCAUUCCACCCAGCUCUGCUCAUUAUGCUGCUAUUGGGGUUGUUUUACACGCAGGUGCGCUGGGUGCAAUUGUAUGUUUGUAUGUAUCUGAUGCUGAACCAUACACUACAAUACUCCAUAAUCUAAUACUGGCCUGAUAAAUCUGCUGUAUAUGGUCCUCAUAGAAUUCCUGUCUGCUUAGUUAUUUUCAAUUAAACAUAUGAUUACAUUUAACACUCUUGCAUUUCUUACUGUUUUUCUUCAUUGUGUGUGACCCAUGUAAUCCUUUCAUGAAACCACGACCAACUCUUGAUUACUUACAUUUUCCAGUGUAAAGCUUCCCUUGACAUGUAUGUAUUUAUCCUGCUGUAGUUUUUAAAAGAAAUGUAUCUGUGUAAUAAUUUGUAAUGCCUAUUUUCCUCACUUUCAUUAGUUGACCUUCUCUUCACAUUGUGUCAUAUUGUAUGUCAUGGCACUUUGUUUGUUU